UUAGUGGCGCACGGGUGCGUAACGCGUGGGAACCUGCCUUUAGGUUCGGAAUAACUCAGAGAAAUUUGAGCUAAUACCGGAUAAUGUCUUCGGACCAAAGAUUUAUCGCCUUUAGAUGGGCCCGCGUUAGAUUAGAUAGUUGGUGGGGUAAUGGCCUACCAAGUCGACGAUCUAUAGCUGGUCUGAGAGGAUGAUCAGCCACACUGGGACUGAGACACGGCCCAGACUCCUACGGGAGGCAGCAGUGGGGAAUAUUGGACAAUGCGGGAAACCGUGAUCCAGCAAUGCCGCGUGAGUGAUGAAGGCCUUAGGGUUGUAAAGCUCUUUUACCAGGGAUGAUAAUGACAGUACCUGGAGAAUAAGCUCCGGCUAACUCCGUGCCAGCAGCCGCGGUAAUACGGAGGGAGCUAGCGUUGUUCGGAAUUACUGGGCGUAAAGCGCGCGUAGGCGGCUAUCCAAGUCAGGGGUGAAAUCCCGGGGCUCAACCCCGGAACUGCCCUUGAAACUAGGUAGCUAGAAUACUGGAGAGGUGAGUGGAAUUCCGAGUGUAGAGGUGAAAUUCG
RNAcentral lists this ribosomal RNA (563 nucleotides) under marine sediment bacterium BB0608_2216_3.1_4G0. RNAcentral's name for it is "bacterial SSU rRNA". It matches the Rfam family "Bacterial small subunit ribosomal RNA", at positions 92 to 690 of the family's 1533-position model. The record is from RNAcentral.